RNAcentral lists this long non-coding RNA (525 nucleotides) under Suricata suricatta (meerkat). Its description in RNAcentral is "lncRNA (ENSSSUG00005017188.1)". The record is from RNAcentral. Lineage: Eukaryota; Metazoa; Chordata; Mammalia; Carnivora; Herpestidae.
CCUCACACCUGCUCAGCUGAGCCCGCUCCUGAAGACGUCGAGCAGGAAACCCAGCUAUUUUCCGAGUGGCAUCUUCUCUGCUCGCCUAGAUAAACCUAAAAAACAAGCAACUUCAAUGAAUGCAAACUAAGCUUUCCCGGGGAGAAACGGCGAGGCAGCUACAAUCAGUCUCUGAUUACACAAACAUACCUAGAGGCAGAAAGGAGGCGAACAGUCCUCGCUCCUUCCCCAGCAAACUAACUGGAGAAAACGGGCCCCGACCUUUCCCGAGCCCACCAGGACACACACCUAACAGGAAAAGCUCUUUCCCGCUCACUAAUGCCUGGGAAGUGUGUGGUCCCUCUUAACUGCUGCCAGCUGAGGAGGAGAAGGCCACGUUUUGCUUAGGUUGUGUCAGCAUCAUCGCUUACCAUCCUGGUCAUCUUCCAUGGGAAGGAGGAAGGGGAAAUUAGAUUCCUUGAGAGAAGGUGAGUUAUCCCCUUUUAUGAUUCUACUAUGGAAAUUCUUCUGAAGAUGUAAAAGGAG